AGAGGCGGGGGAGGGCACAGAGCUAGCAGUGCCCCUGGGGUGCUGGGGUCGAGCGUAGCCUCAGAUGCACCUUUAGAGCUCCCCUCUCUGGGAAACUAGAAAAAAAGUUAUGAUUGCAAAAAAACAGGGCUGGGGAGACGGCUCAGUGUGUAAAAACACUUGCUGUUCAAGCAAGAGGGCCUGAGUUCAAAUCCCAGCACCCAACUAAACCUGGUACAGUGUACUGCUGGGAGGCAGAAGCAGAAGAUCACAGGGAGUCCAGCCUCGCUCUGGAUUCUGUGAGAGACCCUGUCUCCAGGGAACAAGACAGAGAGGGAGAGGGACAGACCAGGUCUUCUGGCUCUACAUAGCAUGCUGGCAUCUGUGCUCUCUCAUUCCCCUACCUUCACCUCUGACCCCCACCUCCCCACCCAACCUCACCCGCAUAAAAAGGUGUAGAAAUACAUCCAGGAUGUGGGCUUCUCCCUCCCAGGCUCAACAACCAUUAACAUUUUGUCUCCUCUUAGACUGUCUUUUGUCCUCAUUAAAUAAAGUACCUCAGGUGAAAACUGAAGGGCCCUCUAACUGUUUCUCCCUGGAGACAAGCAGUUCACACCUAGUGCUAAGUUUUCUCCAGUCUAGGUUCUUUUAUACACACUUAUCGUUCUCAUUAUAAAGGCAUAGUGUGCAUACCUGCCCUCACCCUUCUGUGUGUGUGUGUGUGUGUACAUGUGUGUGCACAUGUAUGCUUAUGUGCAUGCACAUGUGUACAUGUGUGAGUGCCUGUGUGUGUGUGUAUGUUUGUGUGUAUCUGUGCAUGUGUGUGUCUGUGACUGUUCGUGUGUGUGCAUAUGCCUGUGCCUAUGUGCUGAUGUGCUGCCUGGCCUAGAUGGCCCAGAUGGCUUUGAACUUAAAAUCUUCCUGCUUCUGUUUACUAAGUGGGGAGUUGUUAGUGGGACCCCCCCAUGAGUGAAGUGGGACACAGUGUGCUUCUUUGGGUUGGUAUGGGGCUCCCUACCCUCUGACUUGCCUGUUCUGGAUUGCUGGUCAUGGGUCACCCCCAAACUGGCCUGGCCAGUUGAGCAAAUGCCCUGGGUGCCCAGGUGGAGGUCUUCGGCCACAUAUCAGGGGCACUUAACCAUACAACACUGAAUAUCUCAUAUCCUUCUCAUGGGGUCAGUCACACAUCACCCCACACCCACUCUACAGGGUGUAUUCAUCUCUGCAGAGGGGGGAACUGAGGAACAGUUGCUCAGGAGCAGCAAAAAUUGUCCCGCUGGGAUCACUAGGCCUGGCCCUCGGCUCGCCUUCAGACCCACGAUGCUCCUGUCGACAGCCAGCCAUGUCGGCAGCCAUGUGAGGCCUAGGUUUGUUUGUUCCAUCACUGGGGCUGAACAUUUUACUUGUUUUCUUGUGCGUGUGCACGAGUGCAUGCCAUGGCACACGUGUGGAGGUCAGAGGGCAACUUGGAGGAGUCAGGUCUCUCCUUUCCAUCGUGUGGGUCUUGGGGAUCCAGCUCCAGCCGUUGGCUUGGAAGCAAGUACUCUUAUCCACUGAGUCACCUUCAUCGUCUGUGGGACUUUUCCCGACUUGAGAAUUUACAAACCAGGAAAGAAAACCCUUUGUUAGGUUGUACUCUGCUUUGAGGUUUCUCCUUUUCCUUUCUCAUCUUUUUCUUUCUUUCUUUCUUUCUUUCUUUCUUUCUUUCUUUCUUUCUUUCUUUCUUUCUUUCUUCCUUCCUUCCUUCCUUCCUUCCUUCCUUCCUUCCUUCCUUUUUUUUCAAGACAUGGUCUUAUGUAGCCCAGGCUAGCCUCAAACUCACUCUAUAGCCAAGGAUGACCCUGAACUUCUAAGAUCCUUCUCCCUCUACUCCCUGAGUGAUGGGAUGAUAGGCAUGCACCACUACACCUGGUUGCUAUGGUGCUGGGGACAGACCAGUGCUUUGUGCAUGCUGGGUAAGCACUGUACUACCCAACCGACUCCCUGACCCCUGGGCUCCAGUUCAGAGAAUGUCCAUACUGACAUUACUGUGCUGGGACCAGGGCUUCAGGCGGGCAUCCUGUGCAGUGCCUGCCACGGAGUUAUUCACUGAGGGGGCCCUUCCCUCUCCCCCACUACAGCAAGCUCUGCCUCCUUGGUACUGGUUCUCUACUUAGAGCUAAUGCCACUUCGGAUUUAGCAUCAAACAGAAUAAAGGAGGGAGCUGGGUAUUGGGGUUACCAAGAGCAGAAGUAAUGAACUACAUAAAGCCCUGUGUGGGGUGGCCAGCAAUAUCCCGUAAGAGGGAGUGCAUGAGGUCAUCUUGGACACUGGCACAGACUCCAAAGGAUUCACACAAUUGAUGAGGGAACCACCCACAUGAAGCCAGGAGUAGGGGGCAGAGGUAUGGAGAGUUGUAAGUGCAAAGGCCCUGGGGUUGGUAUGUUGAGGCAGAGAGGCAAUAUGGAGGCUGAUAUGACAGAGAGUGGUGAGUGAGGAAAUGGCCAACAGGAGCAGGUCACGUGGGCUGUGCCUGCUACAGACACUUUUCUCAGGGCCACGAGUAGCUGCUCAGUUACUUGUUUAUUUAUUUACAUAUUUAUGCAUGUUGCUUUGAUGUUUGAUUGUGUGUGUGUGUACUGUGUAUGCACAUGUGUGUUUGCAUGUGUUAGGGUGCACACAUGUAUGAGGGUGUAUGAGUAUUUUCCAGCAUUUGGAGGACCCGGGGUGCCUCUCUUGAUUGCUUUCUGCUUUCUCUGUUGAGGUGGGGCCUCUCUGAACCUCGAGCUUACCAACUCCACUAGUCUGUCUAGCCAGCUUGCCUUGGGGACCUGUUUCUGCCCCCCCUGUGCUGUCAUUACAGGCGGUGGCCACACCUGCCUGGGCUCUACAUAGGUUCUGGGGACCCGACUCUGGGCCCAUGGUUGUGAUGUAAAUGCUUUCUCCGCUGAGCCACCUCCCCAGCCCGUAGUUUGGGUGUUUUGGGACAGGGUCUUAUGUAGUCCAGGAUAGCCUUAAAUUAGAUACGUACCGGAGGAACUUCUGAGCCUUCUGUCUCCACCUCUGAGUGUGGAGAUUAUGGGAAUGCUCCACCAGGCUUCACUGGAUUUAAUUGUGUGUGUGUGUGUGUGUGUGUGUGUGUGUGUGUGUACACACAGGUGCCAUGGCAUGUGUGAAGAUCAGAGAACAGCUUGUGGGAUCAGUUUUCUCCUUCCACCAGGUCCAGGGAUCGAACUCAGGCUGUCAGGGCUGGGGGCAGGCAUCUUUGCCUACUGAGCCGUCUCACCAGCCUGGAUUUUCAAAUUUAAAUUUAGUUUUGUGUGUGUGUGUGUGUGUGUGUGUGUGUGUGUGUGUGUGCGCGCUGAGAUGCAGGGUUGAAUGGAUUUAUUUAAAAAUAUAUCUCUGACUGCUGUGUAAAACAUGAAUUAUUCUUUGGCAAGGGCAGAAGCAGAGAGACUGCUGGGAAGAAGGCAAGGGGACUAAGGUGCCUGGUUUCCUUGGGCUCCGCAACAUGAGGCAGUUUUCUCUUCUGGGUGGACUUCAUCACUUUUUGUGUCCCCUCAGGCCCCUGUCCCUGCCUUGUGGCUCAGCUCCAUCUUCUGUCUAGGCCCAGGAACCACCACAGGCCACAGGCUUCAGCGGUGGCGGGCGACAGCUCUGAAGUUGGCGGCUGGCCGCAAGUACAUCUGUCUCUUGACUGUUCCCUGGGUCUGUGGAGUCUGGGCUGGGGACUCCAGAGUAGGGGGAAGGGUACCCAAGAAGCAGUGAGGGACUGGGUGGGGGGUAAUUACAGACAGCAGCUCCAUGCCUGGCCUGGCCUGGCCUGGCCUGGCCUGGCCCAGGGCUGUGAGGUGUGGUACCUGAGCCUGAGCCAGCUGUGCACCUGAGAUGACCAUGUAGGGAGGGGCUGCUUGACAUGUGGCGAUUACAGGUGUGUGCCUCUGUGCCCAGCCCUCAAUGCGAGGAUGUGAGUGUUAGAGUGGGGAGCUGUGGUUAUAAAUAGAGCCAUAACAUAAGUGUGGAGAAUUCUGCUUAAAGUGCAGGAAGAAGUCACAGCCACAUUCUUGUUGGGGAGGGAAAUAAAGCCUUUUUUUUUUCCAA
Long non-coding RNA from Mus musculus (house mouse), 4059 nucleotides. RefSeq annotates it as predicted gene, 33829. Lineage: Eukaryota; Metazoa; Chordata; Mammalia; Rodentia; Muridae. The record is from RefSeq and is a predicted model, not a curated record. The transcript is spliced from 2 exons.